Molecule: ribosomal RNA, 299 nt
Filed under: Nostoc sp. HG1
Lineage: Bacteria; Bacillati; Cyanobacteriota; Cyanophyceae; Nostocales; Nostocaceae
Description: partial 16S ribosomal RNA
Rfam family: Bacterial small subunit ribosomal RNA
Source: RNAcentral
CAGAGGGCAGCAAGCAUGCGAGUGCAAGCAAUCCCGGAAACCGGAGCUCAGUUCAGAUCGCAGGCUGCAACUCGCCUGCGUGAAGGAGGAAUCGCUAGUAAUUGCAGGUCAGCAUACUGCAGUGAUUCCGUCCGGGCCUUGUACACACCGCCCGUCACACCAUGGGAGUUGGGUUGACCCGAAGGCGCUGCGCCAACCUCGCAAGAGGGGGCAGGCGACCACGGUCGGCUCAGCGACUGGGGUGAAGUCGUAACAAGGUAGCCGUAGGGGAACCUGCGGCUGGAUCACCUCCUUUCUAG